This 501-nucleotide ribosomal RNA is filed under the name uncultured bacterium. RNAcentral's name for it is "partial 16S ribosomal RNA". It matches the Rfam family "Bacterial small subunit ribosomal RNA", at positions 29 to 523 of the family's 1533-position model. The record is from RNAcentral.
AUUGAACGCUGGCGGCAUGCCUUACACUUGCAAGUCGAACGGCAGCACGGGUGCUUGCACCUGGUGGCGAGUGGCGAACGGGUGAGUAAUACAUCGGAACGUACCUUAUCGUGGGGGAUAACGCAGCGAAAGCUGUGCUAAUACCGCAUAAGCCCUGAGGGGGAAAGCGGGGGAUCGAAAGACCUCGCGCGAUUAGAGCGGCCGAUGCCUGAUUAGCUUGUUGGUGGGGUAAAAGCCCACCAAGGCGACGAUCAGUAGCUGGUCUGAGAGGACGAUCAGCCACGCUGGGACUGAGACACGGCCCAGACUCCUACGGGAGGCAGCAGUGGGGAAUUUUGGACAAUGGGGGCAACCCUGAUCCAGCAAUGCCGCGUGAGUGAAGAAGGCCUUCGGGUUGUAAAGCUCUUUUGUCAGGGAAGAAACACCGGCUCUAACACAGUCCGGGAAUGACGGUACCUGAAGAAUAAGCACCGGCUAACUACGUGCCAGCCGCCGCGGUAA